GAUUCAUUCCAUAAAAU
Molecule: small RNA, 17 nt
Filed under: Arabidopsis thaliana (thale cress)
Lineage: Eukaryota; Viridiplantae; Streptophyta; Magnoliopsida; Brassicales; Brassicaceae
Description: ATSL125160
Source: RNAcentral